Non-coding RNA from Xyrichtys novacula (pearly razorfish), 9510 nucleotides. The record is from the annotation of a GenBank genome assembly. Lineage: Eukaryota; Metazoa; Chordata; Actinopteri; Labriformes; Labridae.
GGAGAGUCGUUGUGAUGACGCUCGGCUCAAACAGCGUAUCCCCCGGGUAAGCUAUGCAAUCGUGGUACGCCCAUAGGCUGUUUCAAGUGUCAAUCAUAGAAAACUUGAACCGCCUAAUAACUUUUUAAAACGGAGCUGUACAGAAAAAAAGAGGACUUGAUCACAAACAAGUCUUACAAUACCUACAUGUCAACAUCGCAAAUCUGUUCUGAAGGAUGCUCCAUGUUUUAUCAGUAAGUUUUGUAUGGGGGUGGGUUUGCAUCCUGGGUGUGAUGCCAGUCCCCCAGCAUUUCUUGCCAGGUUGCUUCUGCAUAUUAUGUCUGUGACAGCUGGAGAGGUCUUGGCUUUUAAGCUCACAAUGAGCAGAAAUUAAGGGAUGUUGUUCACUUUAUAUACAGACAAUGAGUGAUAUCAAAAUGCCUAAGAUUGUUACAUGGGCCCUCUAGUCCAGUUUUGCAGUGUCUUUGAGCACCUGGGUUAGAGCAUUCAGUCUCUACUGGUAAACAAUAACAAGUGAAUUUUUUUUUUUGUUUGUUUCAAAGAAGCAUUUGUCACACAAUUAGUGCUGCCUCUUCACUGCAUUAGUGUAACCAGACAAACCUUUUCCUGCGCUUAUUUUUUUGGUAACACAUUACCAUGGACAAGGUCAUCUUUAUUGUCUGCUUUUAUCUAUACCCUUUAUCAUGCAAUCGCAGUCUGCUGAUAAUUGCUCUGGCAUGGGUGAUGGUGCCAAAGAAAAUUAACAGCACAGAAAUCUGCCAUGGAGUAAAACAUGGCUAAAUUCUAAGUUGUGUUUUAAUCCAUAUCAGCUGAUGGAUUUUUUUGUUGUUGUUGUUUGUUUGUUUUUUGUUUUUUUUAUAAUAACAGUACCAUGUUUGACUCAAUUCUGUCUAAACUGUUCAUCAGCAAUACAGGCACUUGUAGAGUCCAACAGCUAAGAGACAGGGGCUCAAGUCCCUUUGAGCUGUAUCUGUAUAUGUGCCAGGGACCUGCAUUGUAGUUAUGCAACCAACAUAUGCAACUAUGUUCUUAGUUGUCUUGGCCAAGCAAAACACAUUGUUUAAGACUGUCUGGCUUUUAAAACAAAUAAAGGAUGAAGUUCCUCUGUAUUUUGCCAAAAGCCGUGUUCAUUAUAGACCCAUUGCCGACCGAAAUGCUUGUUUUAGUUACGGAGUAGAAAACAAUCAUUCCAUUUGUAAAAAUAAAUCAAAAUGUCUUCUGUACAAGCUUAUGCCAAAAAGCUGUUCAUCUUCCCCAUUUAGUUAACUUCUUUCCCUUUUCCAACAUCCACUGCAUUGAGAUUGUUUAGUUUUGUCUGGGAAAAGCUUUCCCUUCCUAUCUAGUUACUCAGUGAACAAAAGCUUAUCUCAUUGACCUUGGUGAGGUGUCAAUAUGAGAUAACCAGCGUUAUCUUGUAUUUUGUUCAAUGUUUGUUGUCACUGAUAAGAUGACCUAUUAUCGUUUUCUCCACCAAAUGCACCACAAGCAUGGCUUAUGUAACUAUGAGUGCAUAAUGUAAUUUGCUGUAAUAGAUCUCUCCACAUAAGCAGAGGUAUUUUAAAUAUGCUUGGUUUCAGAAAAAAAAGGGAUGGGAUUAGGAUGAGGUCUGAACACCCUCCAUCAAGUUUGGAAGACUGCCAUUUUUAUUUUAUUUUAUUUUUGAGUGUGAAAUUUCUCAUCUGAUCAUUUUCUUUAAACAAAAUUUCGUCACAAUUCUACAGAAACAAUCACUUAGGCAUGGUAAAUGGAAAGUUACGUUCUACUACAUUUAGCCUCACUAGAACACAAAUCUGACACAUUUCACAUUCAUGAGGCAUAAUAAUGGAAAAAGAAAGUCAUAAUAAACAAGAUCAGAGCUCACAAGGUCUACAAACAAGUGGUCUGGCAGAAUUGCCACGCAGAUGCAAACUGCAAAGCAUGUGCAUUUCCCGUAUAUUCAACCUUCUUAAUUCGUUUGUCACCAACCCCAGCAAUCGUACCUUAAGCCCCCUAUUCGCUCCCAACCACUAGCUCUCCCUAACUUCCUCACCCACAACUCACCCCGUAUACCAACCACCAAUAAUAAAAAAAAUAAAAAAUAGCAAUGAAAAUGUUUUCACUGAUGGCAAAAUGAAAAAUACAUAGUUAUACAAAUACUAUAUAUCCUUAGAUAAAAGUCUAAGUCCAAAGGUUUACUGCAAGAGUGUGCCCAGAAUCAAUGUUGGGCAACAUGGGAUUAUUACUUCUAAAAGUGGAGAGAGUUUAGUUGUAACGAGUUUCCAGAUGGAUUUAACCAAGGGACAAUCCCACAUCAUGUGCAUAAAAGUACCUAUUGUGUUAAUGAACAGAAUGUACAGUUAAGUGAUUUUAAAACUUUUUAUUUUAUAGCAUUUUUGGGGGUGUUAAAUAAGUUCUAUGAGCAAAGUUGAAGUGUAUUAAUUGAUGAUUUAGGUUUCAGGAUAUCAUGUUAAUGUUUCUCCAAACUUUUUCUCAGUCAAUAUGUUGACAGCCUAAUUCAGUAUUUCGUGCUUCCAUGUAUAAAAGUGAUUUAGUUCUGUUCAAGAGAACUUGGCAUCUUGCAGAAAUUUGUCCUUUUGGGAGACCUAUGAAUUCAUUUAUGAAAUUGACUAACAGCUGUAUCGGUUGUUAGACCACAGAUCCCCAUGUGCUUUCAUUGCUGAUCUCAGUUGUACGUAUGUACAGAAAAAAGAGAAAACCCCGUUACUUGAAACUCAUAUUUUAAAACAGAAAAAAGUCUUCAGGCCAUUUACAUCAAUGACAUCGUCUAAUGUAUGUUAUCCAGAAUUUUUCCUCUGAGGAACGUUUUUCAUACUUACGCCAAAUUGCAAUCGCAGUUGAAAUUAUUGGACCAUCACACACUCUUGACUGUUUUGCAGAAAUUUUCAUAAAUAGUAUGUCCUGUAAGGAAUUGGGUGCAACAGUAUCUUUCUCAAUUCUUACUCAGGGCAUGUUUGAAUCCAAGUCAAACCAAUUUGAUAAGGAGCAAAAUGUCAAUGAUUGAGAAUAAAGUUUGAAAUUUGGAACUGCAAGUCCGCCAGAUUGUUUUUCAUUCUGCAUUAUUUUGGGUUUCACACAAGCUUGUUUGUCUUUCCAUAAAAAUGUUAUGUUUCUGUGUAAUUUUUCCCAGUACCCACAGGGUGGAGCAAUAGGAAUCAUUUAGCAACAGACAUGUAUUCUGGGCAAUAUGCUCAUUUUGAUGGUCAAUACUCUUCCAGGUAAGGACACAGGUAUAUUACACUAUCUAUUUAGAUCAUCUACAAUAGAUUUUAAAGUUCUGUUGUAAUUUACAGACACAUUCUUUCAAUAGAAGGGAAAAUAUCUAUACUUAAAUAUUCUAAAUGGUUUCUUUAGAGUAAUAACAAAAGGAUGUAGUCUUCAAUUAGUGGAUGAAUAAACAAUACAGUUGUAGAUUGGAUAUUAAUCAAUUUAGGAUCUGUAAGAAGCUCCAUGUCUCAUGAUUUUAAAGUGUCCAUACUUGCAGGAUAGUUACAACUGCGUAAUUUAUUGGCCAAAAAAGUGACUCGGUCAAUUUCCAUGAAAACAGUAAUUGAGUCUAGCUGUAUGAAAAGCAAAUUCAGCUCUUUUUCUAAUGAAUGUAUUAAGCUCAGUCUUAAUCUUUACAAGUGUGGAGGACACAUCCUGGGAGUAAUUAUUUUGCUGAGAGAGUUCUAAGACAUGUUCUAAGAUGAUUUUCCAACUCAGAUAUCUUUUCUCAGAUAUCUGUAAUAUAUUAAGACCUGAAGCAAAAGAUGUUGGAUUGUUUCCAAUACAGCCUUCAGUUGCAUCUGAAAGUAUCCAAAAAUCAUCCACAGAGUUUUCAUUAAUUUCUAGGAAGUGAUUUAUUCAUUCUGGGAUUGUUCUCAACAUGUUUGAUUGUUGAGUAAUGUGAAGUUAAAGUGCCACCUAGUGGCUUUUUUUGGUGUUGUUGUUGAAAGAACUGUAACUGACUUUAAUAAGCAUGAUGGUCUGAGAGACUUAAAGGGAGGAUAUCAGUUCUUUUGAAUGAAGAAAAUAAGGGUGAUGAUAUGAAGGUAAAAUAAAUCCUGGACGAAUGUACAGAUUUGAACAAUAUUAAUAUCAAAAAUAUUUUAUAACUGCAGUGUUUAAAAAAGAGGCUGCUUCUGAAGUUGUUAUAUUUUUUAGAGAUAGGUUGGAAAUCGCCCACACAAUGUUGCAGUGUGAUAAAUAGAGAUAAAUUAAGUUAUAAUGUAAUGAUAAAAACCAACUUCACAUAAAAAGAAAAAAACAAACAAACAAACAAACAAAAAAAACUUAACAUCUCAAGAGAUGUUGUUACCUUUCCGUAUGAAAAUCCAACCUUUUCCCUCCAGGAGAGUUCAUGAUCAAUCUGGAUACCCAAAAAAUCAUGUUGAUGAUACUGAUUGUGACAAUGGGAAGUUUUUAUUGCUAACUAGAAUAUUUCUUAUUUCCUGCAAAUAAAAUUACUUUUUGUUUUUGAAUUUUAGAGAUAAUUUGUUUGUCUGAAACCAAGUAUCAUAAUAGGAAAGGUCUUUAUUUGUUUCUCUAAUUAGAGUUGCUUAGUCCCUGUUGGAGGUAAAUAGAUUGGUAUCAUCUGCAAAGAGCAAAGGGACUGUAGUUUUUUUAUAGUGAAACAAUAUUAUUAGUGUAAAUCAAAAACAAUAAUGGCUCUAAUAAGGAUCCUUAAGGUACGCCAUACUUUCUCGGUGACACUUCACCAUUAAUAAAUGCAUAUUGUGUUCUAUUACGAACAAAAUGUUUAAACCACUUGUGGACAUUACCCUGGAAACCUUUCAGCCAGAAGAAUCUAAUAGGGUGGCUCUGAAGGCCAAUGGUAAUAAUUACUGCCCCCACUGUAAUAAUUAUUAUAUUACUCUCGGAUGGUAGGUAGUGUGAGUGGAAGGAAAAAUCUCCAACAAGAUGUGAAUUCUCAAAAAAUGAAGAGAACAUUUAUGAAGCCACAUCAAAAUAAGACAAAAAAUGUCAAAUUAAUUAAGUGCUUUGUAAAAAUAUCCCCAGCAGAGGAAAAUAAAAAUGAGACACUACUCCAACAUGAUUCCAACAAACUGGCUCUCCUCACUGCCUCACAUCUCAUGUGCCACACAUCACCUGGGCUGCUGAUUUCACACAGCUCAUAUACUCUGCCACCUGCAGCUUUAAUCACAGCCCCCAAAGGAAAACAAAACUACAAAAAUAACAGUUCUAAUCCACCGGACGCGAACUCUUUUUUGUAGGAUGGUAGGGGAAGGUCCCGCCCUCCUUCGCCUUUGAUUGGCUAGAAGUGCUGGGCUCCUAUUGGUUAUUGCUUAUGUCUGUGAAACGUCAUCGUCUGUUGGGUUGGGGGUAAGGGUUGUGGUUAGGAUUAUAGUUAGGGUUAGGAGAUUCAGAAGUGUGAUAAUGUUCCGUAAUGUUCUGUUCGAUGUACAGAGCCGACAGCCCGCGUUUGGCUUGAGCGUGUGAUGACGUUUCCAGCUUUUCUAGCCAAUCAGAGGCGAAGGAGGCGGGACCUUCCCCUACCAUCCUACAAAAAAUACAUAAAUCACCCACCAGAGAGCCCAUGGGCGUGUGACGAAGUUGACAGAGCAUGUAUUGACGGGGCACAUCCGCAUAUGACACAGCUGACCACUUGUGGGACGCCUACUGAGUCGCGAACUUUUAAGACAGGUAGGUGUCUGAUACAUUUUACAUGAUACUGGGAUUUGAUUUAAUAUGUCAGUGGUUGCAGGCUACCUUAUAUGUUUGGAUGGGAUGUUUUUAUGACAGUUUCUGAAACAAGCAGAAAUCCGAAUGACAUCACUAUAAAUACGUGAGUUUAAGUGUAAUAAACGUGAGCAGUGUGGAAACAAACCUGAAGAACUUUGAAACACGUGAUAACAGAACUACUUACAUCUUUAUGGACACAGGAAAAUGGGUUAUAGCGGAAAUGGAGUUCUAAAGUGAUGGAGAUGAUGCUGUGAGGAUGACGGAGAGAAUAACAAAGAAAUGUGUCCAGACUUGCUUCUUCACUCUGAGCAGGGAGGUGGGGGCAUGAUUACUGAAACCCUAAAUUACACAAUUUCCGCCUGGAUUAUUCUGCUCAUUUUAGCCAGAAAAAUAGCAGAAAUAGUCCCAUAAGUGAGUGCUUCUGCCCAUUUUUACAGAACACAUUGAAUUUCUAAAAUCUGGCUAUGUUUUACAAACAUCCCCUGAUGCACUGACUUGGACACAUCAUCAUUGUUGUUUCCUGGAGUCACUGGGUGUUUCGGGUCUCACAACAGACACCCUCGUUCAGGCGACCCAACCGAGGCUGAUCAGACCCCGGCCUGUGUCCAAGUGGCAUUCUACUCCCCCCACCUCUCUCCCCUCUUCAGCCAGAGCCAUCUAGACGCUUUCUCCGCAGCCUCUGCAUUGCUGUUGAUGGCUCUCUUGCGAUUGGCACCUGUUAUGCCUAGUGUGCCGUAAGCCUUGCUCAGGGAGUGGCUGGUGAAUGCCCGGCUCCCCACCUCCACUUGCAUGCAUCUGGUCCUCCAGCCGUUCUUUUGACAGUCCUCCACCAGCUCCUGGUACUUCUCCCUCUUCCUCUCUUGCGCCUCCUCCAUCCUAUCUUCCCAUGGAACUGUUAACUCGAGCAUGACCAGUUGCCUUGUAGCCUCAGAGACUAGGAUGAUGUCUGGUCUCAAUUUGGACUGGGUGAUGUGCGGUGGUAUUUUCAGUUGCCUCUCUAGGUCAACUGUCAUCACCCAGUCUCGGGCCGUGGAGAGCAACCCAGCAGAGCAGUUCUUUGGCGCUUUCCCUGGCUUCUGUCCUGCCUUCACAAACUGGAUGGCCUUGGCUGUAGUUUGGGUGCAUCAGCUGUCCUAAAUCCCCUUGCUGAUUGCCUCAGCUAUGGAUUUGAGGACCUGAUCGUGUCUCCAUCGAUAGCGACCCUCGCUCAGCGCCUUGGAGCAGCUGCUCAAGAUGUGUUCAAAUGUCCCUGUCUUGGAACACAGGGUGCAUGCUGGUGUCUCCAUUUUGCCCUUAGAAGUGCAGGUUAGAUGGGCUUGGGAGGACAUCAUACACCCCUUGGAUUAGGAACUUGAUCCUCUGAGGGUUCCACUGCCAGAUGUCCUUCCAGGUGAUGUGCCCCUCCAACGCCUGCUUCCACUUCAUCCAGGCUCCUUGCUGCUUCAUGGCCACUGAUCUGCUGGUUCGCUCCUCCUCCACCGAAGCUCACACCUCCUCCUGCACCAGCCUCUGCCUCUCCCUCCCACUGGCAGACUUGUACCGGGUUGAUGUUGCCAUCCCAAGUCCUGCUCUGCCUUGUACCACUGUGCCAAGCCUUGUGCUUCAGCCAAGACUCAGCUUGCUGGACUGCAUUGGCUGCCCUCCACUUCCUCCCUAUCCUCACCACGAUUCCAGUCCCGGACACUUUGGCGUCUCUAGAUCCUGAGUACUGCAGGUGUUCCCGUGUCUGUGCCGCUAUGAACUCCUCCCUGACUGAGUUAAAAGGGAGUCUGAGCUUGUUGGUGUUCCCGUACAGCCCAAUGUUGCUCAAGCUGCGUGGUAGCCCCAGCCACCUGCGCAGGUAGCUGCUCACCCUCUGCUCAAAACCUUCCACCACAGUCAUGGCAACCUCAUAUAUGAGGAGAGGCCAGAGGAUUCUUGGGAGGAUUCCAUGCUGGUACAUCCAAGCCUUGAAUCUACCAGGGAGCCUAGACUUGUCCACUACUCUCAGCCAGCCGUCCAGGUCAGUACUGGUUGCCUUGAUGGAGUCUCUGUCAUUCAGGCUGCAGUUGAAGACCUUCCCCAGGCUCUGCACUGGUUUCUCAGUGACCGACGGGGUUAGAUGUUCUCCCAACCUGAAGCGGAACUUGUCUGUGACCUUCCCUUUUCUUAGAACCAGGGACCUGGACUUCGCUGGCUUGAAACACAUGCGAGCCCAAGCCAUGAUCCUCUCCAACCCCUGAAGAAUCCAUCUGGUUCCUGGUACAGUUGUUGUCGUCACUGUGAAGUCAUCCAUGAAGGCUCUGAUGGGUGGUUGCCUUACUCUAGACUUGCUGAGUGGACCUCUGCAUUCUGUUUCUGCUCCCUUGGCCAGCAUUUUCAUUGCCAGUGCGAAGAGGGUCACUGAUAUGGUGCAACCAGUGAUUAUGCCCACUUCCAGCUGGUGCCAGUCAGAUGUCAGCUGGCCAGAUGAAACUCUCAAGCUGAACUUGCUAUAGUAGUCCAGGUUGAGGCUCCUCACCUUCUGGGGUAUGUGAUGCUUCUCCAGUGCGACCUCCACCAGCUUAUGGGGUAUGGAACCAUAAGCGUUCGUGAGAUCCAGUCACAGCACAGCCAGGUCUCCUCUGCCCUCUUUCACCUCCCUGAUGAGCUGGGUAACCACGCCUGUGUGUUCCAGGCACCCGGGGACUCCCGGUAUCCCUCCCUUCUGCACAGACAUGUCGAUGUACUUAUUGCUCAGCAGGAAGUUGGAGAGUCUCUUGGCCACGAUGCUGAAGAAGAUUUUACUCUCCACACUGAGCAAGGAGAUUACCCGAAACUGGUCGAUGUUCUCUGACUUUUCUUCUUUCGGUAUGUACACUCCUUCAGCAUACCUCCACGGCUGGGCGAUCUUUCCUCUCCUCCAGACCACCUUCAAGGCCUGCCAAAGCCGGUGUAAGAGUUUCGGGCAGUUCUUAUAGACCUUAUACGGCAUGCCGCUUGGGCCUGGUGCUGAGCUUGAUCUUGCUCUCCUCACCACUUCCUCCACUUCACGUAGGUUCGGCUCCUUCAGGUUGAAGUCUGAUGUAGGCUCUGGUGGUUCUGUCAGUGCAUCGCAUGUGCCUAGCGGCUAUUCUCUGCUGGGAUCGCUGUAUGUGGCCUUGAGGUGGUUGUUGAUGACCUCCUUCAAGCAGGUGAGGUGGACCGUCCUCUUUUGGCCAAGUAGCUGCUUGGUCAACUUGAAAGGAUUAGCCAGGAAGGCUGCCCUCUUCCUGGCUCUCUCUUUCCGCCUCCUCCUGUGGAACUCUGCCCUCCACAGGGUCACCAGCUGCUUCCUCAGGAUUGCUCUCAGGUCUGCUUGGCCAGCUCGCUCAACUUCCCUUGCUGUUCUGUACUGCUUCUUUAUCAGCCUGAGCUCUUUCCUGAGGCGCUGGAUCUUCCUUGCUCUGUGGCUCGGAGCAUAUGCCGAUGGUGCUGGCUUAGGUGCCUCAGUUCCAAAUUGCUCUGCUGCAAUGUUCACUAUGAGGGUUGUCAUCGUCGCUAUCAUCGUUGCUAUCAUUUACAAUAUAAUAACGUAUAAAACAUAUUUACCUACAUAUUCACCUAUAUUGAGAGAUGGUUGCACACUAGAGACACGUUUUGGGUUGAAACUCAGUGGCUGGGGGGCUCCAGAGCUUGGUGCUGGAGCACUCUUCCCUCCUUCCUCUUAGGAGGAAUGCUGCGCCUUACAUUGUGAAGUUUUGAAUAGCAUAGUUAAUCUUUAGAACAGGGUACAGCACUUGAAUAUAUGUUAAAACUGUUUGACAGGGUUGUUUGGUCAAGAUUUAGGGUGUGUACAAUGUUUGCUCACUGUGAUUUGUCAGCACAGCA